Molecule: long non-coding RNA, 702 nt
Filed under: Sorghum bicolor (sorghum)
Lineage: Eukaryota; Viridiplantae; Streptophyta; Magnoliopsida; Poales; Poaceae
Description: long non-coding RNA (SBIC_LNC001856)
Source: RNAcentral
AUCUCAUAUAUCAUCACAAAAGAAGCACAAUUAAAGUUCCAACCAUGACCAUUAUCAAACCAAGAGUGGGCAAAUCAUAAGUAUCUCCAUGCCAUCACGAAGGAUGAUUCACAGGCAAACCAAGUACCAUGAGUACAUCCUAGAAGUAACCCGUACGUACGUACACCACACCACACGGGGCAAAAUAAGACAAAGUACCAAAUCCCUCUCUCAAAAGCGAUUCUAGUUAACCACUAUGCAUGUUAUUGGUGCUUAUUCAUAGCUUCUGCGAUUUUCUGGUCAUUACGCUUUCCCAUAUAGUGGCCUUCCAGGAAUACAAAGGCGAGAAGAAAAGCGAGCAACCAAGGUUCUGCACUUAUUAAUUCAUCUGUCUUCUUUCUCUGAUGGGUUGUUCUGAAAACAAUGAAACAAGCAUAGUUACUAAAAUGAUACAUGACCCGUUUCUCUUUUUCUGUUUUUUUUUUCAUUACUCCAAUAUGUGCAUACAACGUACAUGAAAGGGUGCUCAGUGAAUGAAAUACCUUGUAGAGUAGCGUGACGCAGAGCCCCUUGUAUCAAGUUCAGCCUGCAUGUUGAUCCAGUUAAGUAGGUUUAUUUCCUUAAAUUCGAACGUGGCACUUGUACUACUCAGGCUUUGUAAUUACUCUACAAAUCCUAUGAAUAAUAUAGUAUCAGCUGCCUGUCAUCACCCAUCACUACUGU